GUAGGGGGCAAGCGUUGUCCGGAUUUACUGGGCGUAAAGAGCGUGUAGGCGGCCAAACAGGUCCGUUGUGAAAACUGGAGGCUUAACCUCCAGACGUCGACGGAAACCGUGUGGCUAGAGUCCGGAAGAGGAGAGUGGAAUUCCUGGUGUAGCGGUGAAAUGCGCAGAUAUCAGGAAGAACACCAAUGGCGAAGGCAGCUCUCUGGGACGGUACUGACGCUGAGACGCGAAAGCGUGGGGAGCGAACAGGAUUAGAUACCCUGGUAGUCCACGCCGUAAACGAUGGGUGCUAGGUGUGGGAGGUGUCGACUCCUUCCGUGCCGUAGCUAACGCAUUAAGCACCCCGCCUGGGGAGUACGGCCGCAAGGCUA
Molecule: ribosomal RNA, 371 nt
Filed under: uncultured bacterium
Lineage: Bacteria
Description: bacterial SSU rRNA
Rfam family: Bacterial small subunit ribosomal RNA
Source: RNAcentral